Non-coding RNA from Pelobates cultripes (western spadefoot toad), 218 nucleotides. The record is from the annotation of a GenBank genome assembly. Lineage: Eukaryota; Metazoa; Chordata; Amphibia; Anura; Pelobatidae.
GAUAGACUGAACAUGACACAAACACAGGAGAAGAAACACUUGAGGGAGGAAAGACUAGAAUUUCAGUUUUGGUCAAGUUGAGUUUAAGGAAGUGGGCAGCCAUCCAGUUAGAAAUAGAGAGGCAGUCAAAGACACUAGUCAAGAGGGACGGGGAGAGAUCAGAAGAGGAUAGGUAGAUUUGCAUGUCAUUUACAAAGAAAUGAUAUUGGAAGCCAAAG